UCUGCAGAUAGGAAGCCUGAGACUCAGGGAGCUUCAGUUUUGAAGUUCCCUGAGGACAGGGACAGGGUGUUGAUAAUAAGCAGAGAACAUUCAUCGUGCCAUGGUUCUGAGUGCAUUACUGAGUUGACCCUCUGUAAUUCUCAAAACACCCUUAUGAGGUGCCUACCCUGGGAUUCUCAUUUUACAGAUGAAGAAACAGGACGGGCCAGAGAGAGAGGAGGAGGAGCAUAGGGAGAGAGACAAG
Molecule: long non-coding RNA, 244 nt
Organism: Callorhinus ursinus (northern fur seal)
Lineage: Eukaryota; Metazoa; Chordata; Mammalia; Carnivora; Otariidae
Source: RefSeq, a predicted model, not a curated record